This 73-nucleotide transfer RNA is filed under the name Planctomycetota bacterium. RNAcentral's name for it is "Planctomycetes bacterium tRNA-Lys". It matches the Rfam family "tRNA". From Rfam's summary of the family: Transfer RNA (tRNA) molecules are approximately 80 nucleotides in length. Their secondary structure includes four short double-helical elements and three loops (D, anti-codon, and T loops). Lineage: Bacteria; Pseudomonadati; Planctomycetota. The record is from RNAcentral.
ACGCCCUUAGCUCAAUUGGUAGAGCAACGGACUCUUAAUCCGUAGGUUGAAGGUUCGAGUCCUUCAGGGCGUA